Long non-coding RNA from Megalobrama amblycephala (Wuchang bream), 4727 nucleotides. RefSeq lists it as uncharacterized. The record is from RefSeq and is a predicted model, not a curated record. The transcript is spliced from 4 exons. Lineage: Eukaryota; Metazoa; Chordata; Actinopteri; Cypriniformes; Xenocyprididae.
AUUACAACGAAUUAUAAUCAAUUACAUAUAUGAUUAGUUUUAGUUUAAUAGUUGUUUAGAGAAACUAUCCUAUUUUGUCCAGCAAACCAUUAAGUUUCUCAUAGCCUAUUAAAGAAAUUUCAUUCUCUGGCCAUGAGAAUAAAUUCUUAUUAUAGCAUCAAAGCGUAAAGCAGUGUUGCAGAAACGAACGUAGAAGUGACUUGGUUUUUCUGAAUGAGCAGCAGAACAAUCGAGCAUGAGUAUAGUGUAGUUAAUAUAUGAAAUUGAUAAUACAAAGGUUAUACAGCUAAAUAUACACAGAGAAUAUACAUAUAUACAAAAGCGAAAGUAAAGAAAGGGAAAGAGAGAAGACAAGUAGCAAAACGUACUAACAGUCCUUGAGAGCCAGCAAAGAAAUCAGUUUCAUUAGGUCGUAUUAGAUGUAUCACAUCUAAGAUAGAGAAACGGUACUUGCAUUAGUUUACGGGCUGAGUUUCUGUUCAGUGCUGCGGCAGUUCAUUGGCUUCUUCCGUUUCCGCAGGAACAUUUGAACUGAGGACUUGAAAUUCGUUUUGCCGGAGAUGGUCAUCCCAAAAGAUAAUCGUGUGAUGGAAGCGCGGUCGCCUGAGACUUCCGGGAGAGACGUGCAAUCAAGAGACAAAGCAAAAAUGUUUGUGCUUGUCUUUUAUGGACAAACAAGCCAACACGCCUCCUUGGUUGAAACAGCCAAUGGUAAGAAGUGCAAUCUUGGCGGGCAAACUUUUCCUUUGUCUUGUCUUGUGGCUCGAUUUGCAUAACUUAUGAAGUGUUGGAUCAGAGUACAUUUUUCUUUGAAGUACCAUUAAAAAUAGAACAAUGCAUUUUACAGUAAUGUGACAUACAUUGUCAAAUAAGGCAUAAAGAGAGCUUUACAAAGAAACCAAACUUGUCAGAUGGCAAAAACAUAAAAAGGGAGAUACAGUUUAUACUCUGAUUUUAUCGUUUAGAAUGACACUAACGCAACUACAGUCAUAACUAAGUUUAAACACUAGGGAUACAUACAUGCACUUGACAUACACAAUGGGUACACUUUGGCACAGUCAUAUUUUGAGAAUAACUGUACAUACAAUCUCUAAGCAUGUUUGUGUGUGUGUGUGUGGUGUGUGUAUUGGGUUUUGGCUGUUCUGGAAUGUAGCCACAUGAGGGAAGUCCCCAGAGCUGGGGACUGGGGUUCUCUGGUUAGUUUCUGAUAGGGCCACAAAGAUGCCAAAGUGCCCGUCUCUAUUCGUGAUUUACAUGCACAGUUCAGCAGGCUAAAAGCAUUCUAAAAAUUCCAAAGUUGGUUGGCGUUGCAACAGGCGUUACAUCUCUAAUCUCACUGGUGUGAUUGUACGCUCCAGGGACCAGCCAAGACUGAUCACACCGGUGUGAUCAUAGACAUCAAAGGGUUAAUACAGCAGUGGAGACGGCCAACGGCCAGACAGCUGCCAUGUCGUCGAGUGUCCAGAAUUUCAUGGACAGUGUAGAUGGUGAGAAAAUGGUUCCAGGAAUUCUGGUGACCAUGGCAAAAGGUCCUGUAUCUCCUCAAUCUCCUGUAUCUCCUCUCUGUUUGCCCAUUGGUCUGCAGGUGGUAUCCAGAGGAGAGGCUCACGGUCACACCUAGGAGAGAGAAGAAUCCCGUGGAGAAAAAUAAAUAUUGGGACUGUGAACGACACUCACCAUUGGCUGAGGAGGACAGAUGGGGCAUGAUGAAAUUACAUGUCCCUUGGCUCCACAGUAUAAAUAAAGAUCCUGAUGAAUCACCAUCAGGUUCUCCAAAAACUUCUCUGAAAUGGGUGAUGAAUGCAUCAAGAGUUUUUGUUAUAAUGGCUGGCCCAUUUUGAUGCCAAAUUGUUUCCGCCCAUUGGAGUGCUCGCCCUGACAGCAGAGAGAGGACAAAUGCUAUCUUGGCUCACUCAGCUGGAAAGUGAGCGGGUGCAUCUUCAGGGCCAAAAACAUUGAAGAAGAAAUCCACUGCAGUCCUCUGUCGAACCAGAAUAGGGUGCUGGAUUGCCUAUGGGCCUGGCAGUGCCCGUCGGUGAAGAAGUGGGUACCUAUGCAGCAAUGGGUGUGGUGGCGCUUGGCGUGGUAUGAAGAGAGAUCGAGACGGUUUGAUCUUGGAACGCACACACCUCAGUUACUGCAGGUAAAGGAAGUCCAGGUGAGUUGGUGAGUGAAUGGUGACAAAGCAGUUUGAAGAUGGGAAAAGAUGAUGGAACAGAGUACUUCAGACAUGGAAGAAUCAUGAGGAACGAUGGGGUUCAGAGUUGCUGGAGGUAAGUAUCACAGGUCGCACUAUCGCUGGUAGAAAGUCCUGAGUCCGUAGUGAGACCAGACAAUGAAUGUAGCUGAGGUGUAUGCUUGUAUGCAGUGGUUGAUUGAUGUGCAUAAACAGGUGCAGGUGAUUAACAUUCAGGAGAUGGUGAUCGCUGUGUUGGAGUGAAGGUUGAGCCUGGUGAAUCUGUGACAGUGUCCAGUAAUAUUAGCAAUUUGUAGAUGAAAAUUCAACCUUUUGAAAAGUCCAUAUGUUCUCUCUUCACAUAGUAUUUCAGUAGAAUUUCUGUUUCUGAUAUUCCAAAUUAAGAUGUAUUUUUAAUGUUUUCAUAACAUGUGAUGUCAUUUUUAAUUAAACUGCUGUGAGACUUGUUGAAAUAAUGUCAAGGGGAAGUGUUGAAGAAAACACCCAAGAUGUAAGAUCAUAUUUCUGCGGGGUUACAUACUUAAUGAAGUUAUUUUACCUCUUACUGAAUGUUUUUCAGGGUUUUUCCAAAUGAAAAUAUUCAUACACUUCAAGCCUGCUUUAGCCAAUAUCCUAUGGUGUUUUUGUAAACACGCUGCAUUUCAUAUUUGAUUUAUGCAUCCCACUUGGAGUUCAUUUCUUGCUUCAAAGGAAAAAGUUUUUUUUUUUUUUUUUUUUUUCUCUUAUGGGUGGUAAAUGCAAAUAUUAUACUUCUAUGUACAUAAUUCAACUCUAUGCUAUUAAGUCAAUAACAUGUCCAUCUUCAAUACCACACACAGUAUUAUAAAUGAAAAAUAAAACUUGAAUGUUGUCUGAAGGGGUGUCCUGCAAAACAUUAGGGUUGCUCACGUAGCUCUGGUUCCUUGAGAUAACGAGAACAAGCAUUGUGUCUGCUUUUAGUUGACGCUUAUGGGGAAAACUGUGUGACAACAGCUCAUUUGAAUCCUAUGCAAUUACUAUUACCAGUCCUAUUAAAAUCAAUUUUGUAGUUGUUUAUCAUCCUCCAGGUCAGCUUGAGUUGUUUGUGUUUCUCUUUCCUUUCUUGGAUGGUACUCCUCUGGUAGUUCUUGAAGACUUCAACAUCCCCUUAGAAAAGCUUCAGGCUGCUGACUUCCACACUCUGCUUGCCCCGUAUGACCUCAAACGAGUAUCUACUGCGGCUACUCACAAACCAGAACAACCUCCUGGACAACAACCAGUCUGGUUUCAAAAGCAGACACUCAACUGAGACCGCCCUGCUCUCGGUUUUUGAAGCUCUGAGACUGGCAGGACCACUCGAUUGAGGGCCCCAAGACCAGCUGCAUAAGGAGAGGCUCAGACCAAAGUUGGAGCCUGCUACACAGUCCAUAAGCGUCUCAGACUGCUUGAAGAGCAGGGAUGUCCAGGUUAUAAAAUCUGAUAAAAGUGGAUAGCGAGGGCCAAGUGGCCGUCGCACAUAUUUCCUUGAUGGAGACUCUGCUGGACCACGCCCAAGAGAUAUCUAUACCUCUAGAGGAGUGGGCCCUGACUCCCAGGGGGCAUGACAAGUCCACAGACUUGUAAGCUAGUGCUAUCACAUCCACAAUCCAUCUAGAUAGUCUUCGCUUCGAGACCAGUAGCCCUUUAGUGCGACCUCCAAAGCUAACAAACAGCUGUUCUGAUUGCUGAAACUGACUAGAGUGCUUGGUAUACACUCUCAAGGCCCUUAAGGGACAGAGUGGAUGGGGUGCCUGCUCGUUCUCCUUGAGUUGCAGAGCUAACAGCACUAACAGAGCCAUCACCUGUGUUCUGAAUGGAGUAGAAAGAACUUUUGGCAAGUAACCUUUUCUCGGCCUAAGGACUACUUUACUGUCGUUGGGGCUGAAUUCAAGACAGGACAGGAGAGAGCUGGAGAUAGUGGAUGAGCUGAAUCUUCUAGGCAGGAAGUGCCGCAUAGCCUGCAACGACAUCUGUGCUGCGAUGUAGCACUCUGCAAGGCCGUCUACCAUUGAGCCGAACAGGCCUGACAUGAAGACGUGUGCUCGCUUCUGCCUCGCUUUCGCCUUGGCUCGAGAGGGGAAGGAGAUGAGGGAGCGGGCAGGUUACUGAAGAGCGUGAUCCGGGUGUGCAGCAUUGCGAGGCUCAGCCUCUCAUACUGUGGAAAGCUGGAAUCCAAAAAAGCCAUCUAAGCAUGGACAUGGCCCAAGUAUGAGACACACUCUAGCGCGGGUAGGGAAGCCCUGCACAUUUGCAACAACCUCACUGGAAAUUUUCUCUUAAAUUUGCUGUUUUAGUAGUCACCGGAUGGCCGCAGGGGAAUUUGCUGGAUCGGCUUGCUUGCUGAAGCAUCAUCAUUCCGCUGAGAGGCUCAUUUAGCAACCUAUCUCACACUGAAUGCUCAUUGCUACUCUAUUAUUUUCUCUUUAAAGUCGAGAUGAAACACAUGUAGUGACAGAUCUGUCUUUAACUCCCUGAGGUCCGAAAACGCGCCGGCGCGUUUUGCAGGAUUUUUUUCACAUUGCAGCAAAACAGA